Molecule: ribosomal RNA, 497 nt
Filed under: uncultured bacterium
Lineage: Bacteria
Description: partial 16S ribosomal RNA
Rfam family: Bacterial small subunit ribosomal RNA
Source: RNAcentral
GAUGAACGCUGGCGGCGUGCCUAAUACAUGCAAGUCGAGCGAACAGAUGAGGAGCUUGCUCCUCUGACGUUAGCGGCGGACGGGUGAGUAACACGUGGAUAACCUACCUAUAAGACUGGGAUAACUUCGGGAAACCGGAGCUAAUACCGGAUAAUAUAUUGAACCGCAUGGUUCAAUAGUGAAAGACGGUUUUGCUGUCACUUAUAGAUGGAUCCGCGCCGCAUUAGCUAGUUGGUAAGGUAACGGCUUACCAAGGCAACGAUGCGUAGCCGACCUGAGAGGGUGAUAGGCCACACUGGAACUGAGCCACGGUCCAGACUCCUACGGGAGGCAGCAGUAGGGAAUCGUCCGCAAUGGGCGAAAGCCUGACGGAGCAACGCCGCGUGAGUGAUGAAGGUCUUCGGAUCGUAAAACUCUGUUAUUAGGGAAGAACAAAUGUGUAAGUAACUAUGCAUGUCUUGACGGUACCUAAUCAGAAAGCCACGGCUAACUACGUG